Molecule: long non-coding RNA, 320 nt
Organism: Cyprinus carpio carpio
Lineage: Eukaryota; Metazoa; Chordata; Actinopteri; Cypriniformes; Cyprinidae
Source: Ensembl
GUCGAGCGCGGUUUCUGUCUGAUGCUGAUGAACACUGUAGUCAAAGAGAAAAGGAUGUUUCUUUUCGAUUAAUCCGGAGAGGGGGACAAAAGUGGAACGAACAAAAGCAACACGGUUGCAUGUUAAUCCAAAAGUCUUUACCUUGAUUCAGGACCUCUCCGACCAUGAAUGGCGAGCCGUUUAAAAAGGUGUUUUUUCAAUUGUGUGACUGCGAACCCCCAUAUCUACUUUGUUUGUGGGCCAAUAUUAACGGUCACAUUUUUCACACACCCUCUCUCUCUCCUCUUCCUUAUUCACUAAAUUUUUCAACAAUAAAUUGG